This 27-nucleotide non-coding RNA is filed under the name Rattus norvegicus (Norway rat). The record is from RNAcentral. Lineage: Eukaryota; Metazoa; Chordata; Mammalia; Rodentia; Muridae.
UGAUCCUUCCUAGAAAUGCUGCCGGUU